Unclassified non-coding RNA from Erinaceus europaeus (western European hedgehog), 347 nucleotides. Its record names the gene 7SK. It matches the Rfam family "7SK RNA". From Rfam's summary of the family: 7SK was discovered as an abundant small nuclear RNA in the mid-70s but a possible function has only recently been suggested. Two independent studies have found that 7SK RNA binds the CDK9/cyclin T complex (known as elongation factor P-TEFb). P-TEFb activates transcription by phosphorylating the C-terminal domain of RNA polymerase II. The record is from Ensembl. Lineage: Eukaryota; Metazoa; Chordata; Mammalia; Eulipotyphla; Erinaceidae.
AGAUGUGACUGCAUCAGCACAAUUUCCCAGCAGGCUACCACAUCUGUCACUUCACUGAUCACCAGGGUUGAUUCAGCUGAUCUGGCUGGCUAGGCAGAUGUCCUCUUCCUCCCUCACUGCUCCAUAUGUGUCCCUCCUGAAGCUGUGUGCUUGGUGGAAGAGGACGGCCUUCCUUGAAUAGAGAUGACAAAUCUUCAGUUGAGGGUAUACAAGUAAUUGCGCACCCCUGCUAGAAACUCCAAACAAACUCUCACACACAAACUCACAAAAGGUUGUGAGUGUAUAGGAAUUUACUUAAAUGAGUGGCAGAAAUCACCCCUCUUUUCCUGUUUGCCCUUUCUGUUCUC